This 253-nucleotide ribosomal RNA is filed under the name uncultured bacterium. RNAcentral's name for it is "partial 16S ribosomal RNA". It matches the Rfam family "Bacterial small subunit ribosomal RNA", at positions 524 to 776 of the family's 1533-position model. The record is from RNAcentral.
UACGUAGGGAGCAAGCGUUGUCCGGAAUCAUUGGGCGUAAAGCGCGUGUAGGCGGCCCGGAAAGUCUGGUGUGAAAACCUGAGGCUCAACCUCAGGCUGUCACUGGAUACUGUCGGGCUUGAAUCCGGAAGAGGAGAAUGGAAUUCCUGGUGUAGCGGUGGAAUGCGCAGAUAUCAGGAGGAACACCAAUGGCGAAGGCAGUUCUCUGGUACGUGAUUGACGCUGAGACGCGAAAGCGUGGGGAGCAAACAGG